UUAAUACUCCCUUCAUCCGAAAAUACUUAUGCUAAAGAUGAGUGUAUCUAGACUUAUUUUAGUUAUAGAUACAUUCAUUAUAUUCAUUUUAGGAUAAUUAUUUCUGAACGGAGGGAAUAGUAG
Molecule: microRNA precursor, 123 nt
Filed under: Hordeum vulgare
Lineage: Eukaryota; Viridiplantae; Streptophyta; Magnoliopsida; Poales; Poaceae
Description: microRNA MIR1122
Rfam family: MIR1120/MIR1122 microRNA precursor family
Source: RNAcentral